AAGGAAUAUUGGGCAAUGGAGGCAACUCUGACCCAGCCAUCCCGCGUGAAGGAUUAAGGCCCUAUGGGUUGUAAACUUCUUUUGUUUGGGAAGAAAUCAGGACAUUCAUGUGCUGUUGACGGUACCUUACGAAUAAGCACCGGCUAACUCCGUGCCAGCAGCCGCGGUAAUACGGAGGGUGCAAGCGUUAUCCGGAAUCACUGGGUUUAAAGGGUGCGUAGGCGGUUUGAUAAGUCAGAGGUGAAAGCUAGCAGCUUAACUGUUAAAUUGCCUUUGAUACUGUCAGACUUGAAUCAAGUUGAGGUAGGCGGAAUGUGACAUGUAGCGGUGAAAUGCAUAGAUAUGUCAUAGAACACCAAUUGCGUAGGCAGCUUGCUGGGCUUGAAUUGACGCUGAGGCACGAAAGCGUGGGGAUCAAAC
Molecule: ribosomal RNA, 420 nt
Filed under: uncultured bacterium
Lineage: Bacteria
Description: bacterial SSU rRNA
Rfam family: Bacterial small subunit ribosomal RNA
Source: RNAcentral